This 682-nucleotide long non-coding RNA is filed under the name Bemisia tabaci. Its description in RNAcentral is "lncRNA ENSSSA1NGG000558". Lineage: Eukaryota; Metazoa; Arthropoda; Insecta; Hemiptera; Aleyrodidae. The record is from RNAcentral.
UUUUGUUGUUUUCUUACCAUUCAGGGUCACCUAUAAAAAGUCACUGAUGCUGAUUGGAUGGAAAAUAUAUGUGCAAAUUUUUGCGUAGUUGAUGUGAUGACAUUUUUCACAGAAUUGUGAAUAAUGUAUGGAACAAGAACCAGUAAUCAAAAUUCGUCUGUCCAAGACGUUGCGCAAAAAUAGAAUUAAUAAUUUAAAGCAAACGGACACGGUAAACAGGCGGAAGAAAAGGUGCUUAUGAUCACAAUUCAUCUUGUAUUAUUGUAUAAGACAAGACUUAUUAGAAGCAGAGUUUCAUGUGUAUGAUUCAUGGAUCGUAAUUUUCUUUCACAUUUUGACUGACAGUAAUUGUAAUCCAUCCUCUCAAUAUGUUCCUUACCACAUACCUUUCAGUGUGUUUUUUCUCUCGAAUUGUGUUGAUAACGUUGUAUAAAUUCGAUUGGAUUUUUCACAGGGAAAUAAAUCGGCGGCCAUCGUUUGCCAGUAUUUAAACACUGACACAGAGGCAUCUUUUCUUCAGGAUCUGAAAACAUUUGCAUUUCGACAAUAUUGUGCACACCUCGAAUUUCAGGCGACGUAUAUAUUAGCAUUGAAGUUACCGUUAUUGACGUCGGUGAUUGGUAUCGUCACGACGUAUCUUCUAUUUUCUGUUCAAAUUCGGAAUGCAGUUUCGAAUUUCUAG